UUUCCCUACGGGACGCAGCAGUGAGGAAUAUUGGUCAAUGGGCGGAAGCCUGAACCAGCCAAGUCGCGUGAGGGACUAAGGCCCUGCGGGUCGUAAACCUCUUUUGCCGGGGAGCAGUGGUCCGGACGCGUCCGGACCGGGAGAGUACCCGGAGAAAAAGCAUCGGCUAACUCCGUGCCAGCAGCCGCGGUAAUACGGAGGAUGCGAGCGUUAUCCGGAUUUAUUGGGUUUAAAGGGUGCGUAGGCGGAAUAUCAAGUCAGCGGUAAAAAUUCGGGGCUCAACCCCGUCGUGCCGUUGAAACUGA
This 305-nucleotide ribosomal RNA is filed under the name uncultured bacterium. RNAcentral's name for it is "bacterial SSU rRNA". It matches the Rfam family "Bacterial small subunit ribosomal RNA", at positions 334 to 636 of the family's 1533-position model. The record is from RNAcentral.